GAUGAACGCUGGCGGCGUGCCUAAUACAUGCAAGUCGAGCGAACAGACGAGGAGCUUGCUCCUCUGACGUUAGCGGCGGACGGGUGAGUAACACGUGGAUAACCUACCUAUAAGACUGGGAUAACUUCGGGAAACCGGAGCUAAUACCGGAUAACAUGUUGAACCGCAUGGUUCAACAGUGAAAGACGGUUUUGCUGUCACUUAUAGAUGGAUCCGCGUCGCAUUAGCUAGUUGGUAAGGUAACGGCUUACCAAGGCAACGAUGCGUAGCCGACCUGAGAGGGUGAUCGGCCACACUGGAACUGAGACACGGUCCAGACUCCUACGGGAGGCAGCAGUAGGGAAUCUUCCGCAAUGGGCGAAAGCCUGACGGAGCAACGCCGCGUGAGUGAAGAAGGUCUUCGGAUCGUAAAACUCUAUUAUUAGGGAAGAACAAAUGUGUAAGUAACUAUGCACGUCUUGACGGUACCUAAUCAGAAAGCCACGGCUAACUACGUG
RNAcentral lists this ribosomal RNA (497 nucleotides) under uncultured bacterium. RNAcentral describes it as "partial 16S ribosomal RNA". It matches the Rfam family "Bacterial small subunit ribosomal RNA", at positions 28 to 507 of the family's 1533-position model. The record is from RNAcentral.